This 460-nucleotide ribosomal RNA is filed under the name uncultured bacterium. RNAcentral's name for it is "partial 16S ribosomal RNA". It matches the Rfam family "Bacterial small subunit ribosomal RNA", at positions 338 to 795 of the family's 1533-position model. The record is from RNAcentral.
CCUACGGGAGGCAGCAGUGAGGAAUAUUGGUCAAUGGGCGCGAGCCUGAACCAGCCAAGUAGCGUGAAGGAUGACUGCCCUACGGGUUGUAAACUUCUUUUAUAAAGGAAUAAAGUGAGGCACGUGUGCCUUUUUGUCUUUACUUUAUGAAUAAGGAUCGGCUAACGCCGUGCCAGCAGCCGCGGUAAUACGGAGGGUCCGAGCGUUGUCCGGAUUUAUUGGGUUUAAAGGGAGCGUAGAGGGGUUGUUAAGUUAGUUGUGAAAUUUUGCGGCUCAACCGUAAAAUUGCAAUUGAUACUGGCAGACUUGAGUGCAGUUGAGGUAGGCGGAAUUCGUGGUGUAGCGGUGAAAUGCUUAGAUAUCACGAAGAACUCCGAUGGCGAAGGCAGCCUACUAAACUGCCACUGACACUGAUGCUCAAAAGUGUGGGUAGCAAACAGGAUUAGAUACCCCUGUAGUC